Oncorhynchus keta (chum salmon) is the source of this 846-nucleotide long non-coding RNA. RefSeq lists it as uncharacterized. The transcript is spliced from 4 exons. The record is from RefSeq and is a predicted model, not a curated record. Lineage: Eukaryota; Metazoa; Chordata; Actinopteri; Salmoniformes; Salmonidae.
CUCAGGCAAUCCUUGAAAACCUUCUCACACUUUUGACUGAAGAUGGAGGAGGCAAGAGAGACAAAUAGGGAAGUGUGAAGAGGUCUAGAGGGGGAAUGAGAGGAAGCAAGAGAAUAACAGACUGACUGCCCAGGUCACAGACACAGAGACAAUAACAAGAGUAAGAGGGGGUCAUGGGAGAACGAGAGGAAGCAAGAGAGAGAGAACAGACUGACUGCCCAGGUCAAAGACACAGAGAGAAUAACAGACUGACUGCCCAGGUCACAGACACAGAGACAAUAACAAGAGUAAGAGGGGGUCAUGGGAGAACGAGAGGAAGCAAGAGAGAGAGAACAGACUGACUGCCCAGGUCACAGAGAGAGAGAAUAACAGACUGACUGCCCAGGUCAAAGAGAGAGAGAGAGAAUAACAGACUGACUGCCCAGGUCAAAGACACAGAGAGAAUAACAGACUGACUGCCCAGGUCACAGAGAGAGAGAGAGAAUAACAGACUGACUGCCCAGGUCAAAGAGAGAGAGAGAGAGAAUAACAGACUGACUGCCCAGGUCAAAGAGAGAGAGAGAAUAACAGACUGACAGACACAGACACACAGACAGACACACAGACAGAGAGAGAGAGAGAACAGACUGACUGCCCAGGUCAAAGACACAGAGAGAAUAACAGACUGACUGCCCAGGUCACAGAGAGAGAGAGAAUAACAGACUGACUGCCCAGGUCAGAGAGAGAGAGAGAAUAACAGACUGACUGCCCAGGUCACAGAGAGAGAGAGAAUAACAGACUGACUGCCCAGGUCACAGAGAGAGAGAGAAUAACAGACUGACUGCCCAGGUCAAAGAGAGAGAGAGA